This 463-nucleotide ribosomal RNA is filed under the name uncultured bacterium. RNAcentral's name for it is "partial 16S ribosomal RNA". It matches the Rfam family "Bacterial small subunit ribosomal RNA", at positions 339 to 795 of the family's 1533-position model. The record is from RNAcentral.
CUACGGGCUGCACCAGUGAGGAGUUUUGCGCAAUGGGGGAAACCCUGACGCAGCAACGCCGCGUGAGCGAAGAAGGCCUUCGGUCGUAAAGCUCUGUCAAGUGGGAAAAACGUUUUCCGGUCAAUAGCCGGAAGAUCUGAUGGUACCGCUGAAGGAAGCACCGGCUGACUCCGUGCCAGCAGCCGCGGUAAUACGGAGGGUGCAAGCGUUGUUCGGAAUUAUUGGGCGUAAAGAGCGUGUAGGCGGUUUGGUAAGUCAGAUGUGAAAGCCCCGGGCUCAACCUGGGAAGUGCAUUUGAAACUGCUUUACUGGAGUAUGGGAGAGGAGAGUGGAAUUCCUGGUGUAGAGGUGAAAUUCGUAGAUAUCAGGAGGAACAUCUGUGGCGAAGGCGACUCUCUGGACCAAUACUGACGCUGAGACGCGAAAGCGUGGGUAGCAAACAGGAUUAGAUACCCCAGUAGUC